This 71-nucleotide transfer RNA is filed under the name Felis catus (domestic cat). It matches the Rfam family "tRNA". From Rfam's summary of the family: Transfer RNA (tRNA) molecules are approximately 80 nucleotides in length. Their secondary structure includes four short double-helical elements and three loops (D, anti-codon, and T loops). Further hydrogen bonds mediate the characteristic L-shaped molecular structure. tRNAs have two regions of fundamental functional importance: the anti-codon, which is responsible for specific mRNA codon recognition, and the 3' end, to which the tRNAs corresponding amino acid is attached (by aminoacyl-tRNA synthetases). tRNAs cope with the degeneracy of the genetic code in two manners: having more than one tRNA (with a specific anti-codon) for a particular amino acid; and 'wobble' base-pairing, i.e. permitting non-standard base-pairing at the 3rd anti-codon position. The record is from Rfam by way of RNAcentral. RNAcentral also lists the same sequence under 4 other names. Lineage: Eukaryota; Metazoa; Chordata; Mammalia; Carnivora; Felidae.
GCCUGGGUGGCUCAGCAGGUUGAGCAUCUGACUUCGGCUCAGGUUCAUGAGUUUGAACCCCAUGUUGGGCU